This 301-nucleotide ribosomal RNA is filed under the name uncultured bacterium. RNAcentral's name for it is "partial 16S ribosomal RNA". It matches the Rfam family "Bacterial small subunit ribosomal RNA", at positions 509 to 807 of the family's 1533-position model. The record is from RNAcentral.
CAGCAGCCACGGGAAUACGUAGGUGGCAAGCGUUGUCCGGAAUUAUUGGGCGUAAAGGGCUCGCAGGCGGUUUCUUAAGUCUGAUGUGAAAGCCCCCGGCUCAACCGGGGAGGGUCAUUGGAAACUGGGAAACUUGAGUGCAGAAGAGGAGAGUGGAAUUCCACGUGUAGCGGUGAAAUGCGUAGAGAUGUGGAGUAACACCAGUGGCGAAGGCGACUCUCUGGUCUGUAACUGACGCUGAGGAGCGAAAGCGUGGGGAGCGAACAGGAUUAGAUACCCGCGUAGUCCCUGUCUCUUAUAC